Small nucleolar RNA from Osmerus eperlanus (European smelt), 91 nucleotides. RefSeq annotates it as small nucleolar SNORD12/SNORD106. The transcript has a single exon. The record is from RefSeq and is a predicted model, not a curated record. NCBI's taxonomy places the organism in Eukaryota, Metazoa, Chordata, Actinopteri, Osmeriformes, Osmeridae.
AUUGGUGAUUAUGAUGACUAAACUUUUUUCCCCAUCAUAUCGACAGUGUUGACUAACCAGAAAUUUAAGCCAAAUGGACUGAAUCACCAAU